RNAcentral lists this long non-coding RNA (526 nucleotides) under Homo sapiens (human). RNAcentral describes it as "non-protein coding lnc-TEX9-6:7". Lineage: Eukaryota; Metazoa; Chordata; Mammalia; Primates; Hominidae. The record is from RNAcentral.
GCCAGAGAGGCUAGAACGAAGCAAGCAGAGGAAGGUGGGAUAAGCUGGCUUGCUGAGUUUUCUAACUUUCAUCUUUUUCCCAUGCUGGAUGCUUCCUGCCGUUGGACAUCAGACUCCAGGUUCUUCGGGGACUCUUGGACUUACACCAGCGUUUUGCCGGGGGCUCUGUCGGCUGCACUGUCAGUUUCCCUACUUUUGAGACUUUUGGACUCGGACUGAGCCACUACUGGCUUCCUUCUUUCUCAGCUUGGAGACAGCCUAUCAUGGACUUCGCAUUGUGAUCGUAUGGUGCUGUAAUGGAAAUCCUUUAUUUGUGACUCUUGUGGCCUUGUGUGAGAGUUUUUUCCUAAGAUGGACUACAGAGAACCAGAGAGAGUUUUAAAUGUCUUAUUACCAGAACUUAAAGACCUUUAAGCAGAUGCGACACUGAUUCAGGAGCAGUUUCUAAAAGGACUCUUCUUCACCAGAUCACUAACAGAAGGAUCAAAAAGGAGAAAGUAUAAGGAUCAAAAGGGAGAAAAUAUAA